GAACUGUGCACACGUUUUUCGAAUACGUAAAUACCUAUGUUCAUAUGUUUUAAUUUAUUCAUUUGUUAAUUCUUUUCCUUUUGAGAGUUGUGUGCGUGUCCCACCAAUGUCGCGUUGUUGAGUAGCGCUAUAGAUAGACACACAGAUGAUAUCGAAUCGCACUAACACACCCAAAAUGAUUGCAUCGAUCGGCUAGUUGAGACCGGCCGCGGUUCAAGCAGCAAGCAGCCACCGCAAAUGAAAUCGCUGCACAGGCGAGCGAGGCAAACAGAAAUACGAGCAAGCAGCAGCUGGCGCCAGCGCCAGCAGCAAGCAAAAAGCGGCAAACAAGCUUAUAACGUGUUACGAGUAGCAAAAGCAAAAGUGAAAAUACAUACAUACAUGCAGAGACUCUCGCAUACACACACGCAUACAUGUUCACGCAAUACAGACGCACGCGCACAAUUCAGGGCAAAGAACGUAUUUGUAUGUGCGGGUGCUGAUCAAAUUGGAAUACUUUAAUGUGAUUGGCUCACAUUCUUGAGAUUGAGAGACAAGCAACGAAGGAAACGGAACGAACCAAGAGCCAAGAAGAGAGCGGAACAAAUAGAGAGAACGAAAUAAAAGCUGACGAGAGUGACUUACUUUUUAUUCUUGUACUUCUGGGAAGUUGGUAAUAUUUCUACAGAUGGAGCAUCGGACAUCGCUGAUACCACCGGGGUCUGUCCCAUGAUAAUAUCCUGGCGCUGAGCGAUAAUUUGUUCUGAAGCAAAGUGUGGACAAAAAUCGAUUUGAGAAAAUUAUUGAUGAUUAGUGUAAAUACCUAAUUUGUAGUGGGCCCUUGGGUCAGGGACUGACACACUACUGGAUAGACACAUACCACCAGCGUCUGGCUGGGAAAAGCACAUCGGAACAUCUGGCUGAACGAUGGCUGCUGUCGUUGCUGCUGUCGCAGCUGGCCCUGGCCCUGGCUCCUGGCUAUCGAUGUCCGUACUCGCAUUACUCUAUGUAAUAGAAUUUACGUUAUUAAACUGAAUUGAGAUGAAACCUUAA
Long non-coding RNA from Drosophila virilis, 1032 nucleotides. RefSeq lists it as uncharacterized. The record is from RefSeq and is a predicted model, not a curated record. Lineage: Eukaryota; Metazoa; Arthropoda; Insecta; Diptera; Drosophilidae.